UUUUUCCAGAAUAAUCGGCUAUACAUUUUAAUAUUUAACUCUACUUGUUGUUAUAUCUUCUAUUGUUGGAGUUUUUAUUCUAUUUUUGUAAAAUGUUUUAGUUUUUUGUUGUGUUUUGAAGAUAUAUAAAAUUUGGUUUUUGAACUGGAUUAGUACCCAGGUAAUCAAAAUUUAUUAAUUCGGGAGUAAAGUUUAGUUUAAACCGAAAAAAUAUUGACUGACUUUGGAUUUUUCUUUGGAAUAUGUGACUUUUGGAUAGUCCUCCUUAUUAGUUAAUUUUGUCGGCUCAUGUAUGAUUGUUUAGUUUUUAUUAUGUUUGUGAUGCUGUUAUGAUUUUUAUUUUAAAACAGAUAUAUACUUGGCUUAUAAGUUGAUAUUUCAUGUGUUACUAUUAUUAAUUUUUUUUGGAUUUUUUAUUAAAUGUUUUUUUGAAAUUGGAAAAGAAAGUAAUUGACUUUUUAUGUUUGAAUGAAUUUAAUAAACAAGGUGGUAC
This 493-nucleotide ribosomal RNA is filed under the name Litomosoides bonaerensis. RNAcentral describes it as "partial small subunit ribosomal RNA". The record is from RNAcentral. Lineage: Eukaryota; Metazoa; Nematoda; Chromadorea; Rhabditida; Onchocercidae.